RNAcentral lists this long non-coding RNA (364 nucleotides) under Musa acuminata (dwarf banana). RNAcentral describes it as "long non-coding RNA (MACU_LNC000194)". Lineage: Eukaryota; Viridiplantae; Streptophyta; Magnoliopsida; Zingiberales; Musaceae. The record is from RNAcentral.
CUUCUCCAAAGCAGCUUUAUGUUCAGCAUCCUUUUUAGCUUUAGACUUUGCUUUUGCAGCUGUUGACAAAACAGCGGUGGGCAUCUUGAUAGCUGAAGUCGAAGUGGGAGGUGCGGUUGGGCGGGGGUAUUCAAAUAGGGAAGGCUUUGCAUUUGAUAAGAACUCAAAUUUUGGAACUUUCAGAUCAUAGUUAAGUCCAAUAAAGGCAGUUGGGGAGAACGCGAGGCUUAUAAAAUAGAGAAGGGGAUACCAAUACCAGAACUGGCUGAAAACUGCAAGCCCAACAACAGCUGUGAUUUUAUCAUGCUUAGUUUUAGAAAGCAGUUUAAUAGUUACAUUCCUUCCACCAGCAUCAAGAAUUCCA